Molecule: ribosomal RNA, 497 nt
Filed under: uncultured bacterium
Lineage: Bacteria
Description: partial 16S ribosomal RNA
Rfam family: Bacterial small subunit ribosomal RNA
Source: RNAcentral
GACGAACGCUGGCGGCGUGCUUAACACAUGCCAGUCGAACGGUGAAGCGCCUUUCUUUUUGGUGGGUGUGGAUGAGUGGCGAACGGGUGCGUAACACGUGAGUAACCUGCCCCCUUCUUCUGGAUAACCGCAUGAAAGUGUGGCUAAUACGGGAUAUUCUGGGUCUGUCGCAUGAUGGGUCUGGGAAAGAUAUUGUUUCGGUGGGGGAUGUGCUCGCGGCGGAUUAGCUUGUUGGUGGGGUGAUGGCCUACCAAGGCGGUGAUGGGUAGCCGGCCUGAGAGGAGGGUGAGCGACCAUGGGAGGGAGGCGAGGCCGAGACGACUCCGAGAGGCAGCAGUGGGGAAGUUUAGAGAACGGGGGGCGCACGGCUGAAGCGGCGCCGCGGGUGGGGUGAUGGAGGCCGUCUUGUAGAGAACCUCUUUCGCGAGUGAAACGGGCUGGCCUCAUAUGUCGGUGGGUUGACGGUAGCUGGAGAAGAAGCGCCGGCUAACUACGUG